CUGACACUACAUAAAGGUACGAGGCUACGAGCUCCUCCACGACAAUCCACACCAACACCAAACCACGGUGGCCGCCGAUCGACCCGGCCACGCCUGAGAGCAGCAUCUUGCCGGAGACAUGGCGUCCGCUCCUGCGGCGGUUCCCCGCGUGAAGCUGGGCUCCCAGGGAAUGGAGGUCUCGGCGCAGGGCCUCGGCUGCAUGGGCAUGUCCGCCUUCUACGGCGCGCCCAAGCCCGAGCCCGACAUGGUCGCGCUCAUCCACCACGCCGUCGCCGCCGGAGUCACCUUCCUCGACACCUCCGACAUGUACGGGCCGCACACCAACGAGAUCCUGCUCGGCAAGGCGUUGCAAGGCGACAUGAGGGAGAAGGUGGAUCUGGCCACCAAGUUCGGCGUCUCGUUCGCAGACAACAAAUGGAAUGUCCGGGGGGAUCCGACGUACAUGCGCGCGGCUUGCGAGGGCAGCCUCAAGCGGCUGGCCGUCGACUGUAUUGAUCUCUACUACCAGCACCGCAUCGACAAAAAUUUGCCCAUCGAGGUCACGAUUGGCGAACUCAAGAAGCUAGUCGAAGAAGGAAAGAUAAAAUACAUCGGACUAUCUGAAGCAUCUGCAUCAACAAUCAGAAGGGCUCAUGCUGUCCAUCCUAUUACUGCAGUUCAGCUGUAGUGGUCAUUAUGGUCUAGAGAUGUGGAAGAAGACAUAAUUCCAACUUGCAGAGAACUUGGAAUCGGAAUCGUACCUUACAGCCCACUUGGUAGAGGAUUUUUCUCUGGUGGAGCAAAACUGAUCGACUCGCUAUCAGAUCAGGACUACCGCAAGCAUAUGCCCAGAUUCCAGCCAGAAAAUCUUGAGAAGAAUACCCUGAUAUUUGACCGUGUUAACGCAAUGGCAACAAGAAAAGGGUGCACACCAUCACAACUUGCAUUAGCCUGGGUUCAUCAUCAGGGGAGCGAUGUUUGUCCCAUACCUGGCACAACAAAAAUCGAGAAUUUCAACCAGAAUGUGGGAGCACUAUCUGUGAGGCUCACACCAGAGGAGAUGGCCGAACUCGAGUCCUAUGCCGCUGCCGGUGAUGUCCAGGGUGAGCGGUACUCUGAAAUGGCGAGUACCUGGAAGUAUUCUGAGACCCCUCCAUUGUCAUCCUUGAAAGCUGAGUAGCCAUUUUUCUUCAGUGGAACUACAGGAGUUCAUGAUUCCAAACAGGCACAGGAGGGUAAUCAUAGUUGUGUUUUUUGAGUAUUGACCAGAGUUGGACUCCUAUUGUUGCGAAUUCCGGUAUGUAAAAUAAGCUGUGGUAUGUAUGUGUGUAUGCUUCGUUGUUGGUAUACAACUAGUGUGUUGAAUAAGCCUGUGUGCUGUAGUGCUACAUAAAGGUGUGGUAAAAAUGCAUGUUGACAAAAAGAAUAAUCAUGUACAAAUUGUCCCUUGGGUUAUAUUUUUGUGAAAGCAUGUGGACACAAUGCUUGUAGGGGAAUUUUAUUGUGUAUUUUUGUACCUAAA
Molecule: RNA transcript, 1501 nt
Organism: Triticum aestivum (bread wheat)
Lineage: Eukaryota; Viridiplantae; Streptophyta; Magnoliopsida; Poales; Poaceae
Gene name: probable aldo-keto reductase 2
Exons: 5
Source: RefSeq, a predicted model, not a curated record